This 160-nucleotide ribosomal RNA is filed under the name Termitomyces sp. AS1. Its description in RNAcentral is "5.8S ribosomal RNA". It matches the Rfam family "5.8S ribosomal RNA". From Rfam's summary of the family: 5.8S ribosomal RNA (5.8S rRNA) is a component of the large subunit of the eukaryotic ribosome. The record is from RNAcentral. RNAcentral also lists the same sequence under 21 other names. Lineage: Eukaryota; Fungi; Basidiomycota; Agaricomycetes; Agaricales; Lyophyllaceae.
AACUUUCAGCAACGGAUCUCUUGGCUCUCGCAUCGAUGAAGAACGCAGCGAAAUGCGAUAAGUAAUGUGAAUUGCAGAAUUCAGUGAAUCAUCGAAUCUUUGAACGCACCUUGCGCUCCUUGGUAUUCCGAGGAGCAUGCCUGUUUGAGUGUCAUUAAAU